RNAcentral lists this long non-coding RNA (524 nucleotides) under Homo sapiens (human). Its description in RNAcentral is "long non-coding RNA NONHSAT235277". The record is from RNAcentral. Lineage: Eukaryota; Metazoa; Chordata; Mammalia; Primates; Hominidae.
GGUCCUUUAGAAUUCUAGAUUCUCUUGGUUCCUUUCUCCAGAAUCCUUCCCUUCUCGCUCCACUCAUGCUCUGGGCCAGGCCCACCACGUCUCCUGGCAGCUGACUAUCUCAUGCCACCUGCCUUUGUUCUCUAUUCCCUUUGCCAAAACCAUAUUUUCUGGUGAAUCCCUCUUCUACUUCAAGGUUCAGUUCAAGUGCCACCAUAUAAGUGAAGCUGUCCUCAGUCGACCCUAGGUGACUCUGUGGCCCCAUGGAACUUUUUCUCAUCACCAUCGUAGCAGUCAUGACUCUGUUUUGACCUCCACUUCUCCACUGGAGAGUGUGUUCCGUGGAAUGAACUGGCUUGUAGUGUGACCUGUGAACCUCCAGAGCUUGGCUCUGUGUUGCUCAUUGAGUACUUGUUCUUGCAGUGGGCCCUUGCCAAGAGAGGCCCCUGUUCUGGGAUGUGAGCCAGAGAAGGUCCGAGACUCAUAAUUUCAUGUGUCAUACUCGUCCUCCACCCAGCUCCCCCUGGCCAGAUCAC